UUCUGCCACCGAAUACAUUAGCAUGGGAUAAUGGAAUAGGACCCUGUCCUCCUAUUUUCAGUUGGUUUUGGCAGCGCGAGGACUAGGGUAAUGAUUAAUAGGGAUAGUUGGGGGCAUUAAUAUUUAAUUGUCAGAGGUGAAAUUCUUGGAUUUAUGAAAGAUUAACUUCUGCGAAAGCAUCUGCCAAGGAUGUUUUCAUUAAUCAAGAACGAAAGUUAGGGGAUCGAAGACGAUCAGAUACCGUCGUAGUCUUAACCAUAAACGAUGCCGACCAGCGAUUAGGAGACGUUGAAUACAAAACACCACCAUCGGCGCGGUCGUCCUUGGCGUCUCGGUCCUUCACGGGGCCGGGGCGCGGGGGCGGCUUAGCCCGGUGGCACCGGUGAAUGACUCCCUAGCAGCUUGUGAGAA
This 411-nucleotide ribosomal RNA is filed under the name Acanthamoeba sp. Its description in RNAcentral is "SSU rRNA". It matches the Rfam family "Eukaryotic small subunit ribosomal RNA", at positions 787 to 1096 of the family's 1831-position model. The record is from RNAcentral. Lineage: Eukaryota; Discosea; Longamoebia; Acanthamoebidae.